UCUCCAAGCCAUUUGAAAGAAUUAAGGCUGGGAUUUUUAUGUUCUAGUUGCUGUUUUAAACCUUGUUUGUUUGUUUGUUUGCUGUUCCAGGACAUGCAAGAUUGGUGUGGCCUAGAGGCUUGGGCUCGCUGAGGCAGCAGGCCAGCUAUGAAACAGCUGGUGUCAAUGAUGCGGAUGGCUGAAGUUUUAUUUGGAGAACAGCAGUUGGUAUAAAAACUCUUCUGCUGCUUGCAUUGAAAAUACCCCAUACAGACACAUACCAUGGAGAGGAUGGCAAGGCUGAAAUUUUCCAACAUGGUACUUAAACCUAAGUUUAAGGACCAGAUGAGCUUGGAUUGCACCUGACCAUUUUUUUUUCAAUUAAAUUUUUUCUCUGUUACAUGUA
This is a long non-coding RNA of Leopardus geoffroyi (Geoffroy's cat), 385 nucleotides long. RefSeq lists it as uncharacterized. The record is from RefSeq and is a predicted model, not a curated record. Lineage: Eukaryota; Metazoa; Chordata; Mammalia; Carnivora; Felidae. The transcript has 2 exons.